GACAGAGGGUGCAAACGUUGUUCGGAAUUACUGGGCGUAAAGCGCACGUAGGCGGCUUUCUAAGUCGGGGGUGAAAUCCUGGAGCUCAACUCCAGAACUGCCUUCGAUACUGGAAAGCUCGAGUCCGGGAGAGGUGAGUGGAACUGCGAGUGUAGAGGUGAAAUUCGUAGAUAUUGGGAAGAACACCAGUGGCGAAGGCGGCUCACUGGCCCGUAACUGACGCUGAGGUGCGAAAGCGUGGGGAGCAAACAGG
Molecule: ribosomal RNA, 253 nt
Filed under: uncultured bacterium
Lineage: Bacteria
Description: partial 16S ribosomal RNA
Rfam family: Bacterial small subunit ribosomal RNA
Source: RNAcentral